This 253-nucleotide ribosomal RNA is filed under the name uncultured bacterium. Its description in RNAcentral is "partial 16S ribosomal RNA". It matches the Rfam family "Bacterial small subunit ribosomal RNA", at positions 524 to 776 of the family's 1533-position model. The record is from RNAcentral.
UACGUAGGGGGCAAGCGUUGUCCGGAAUCAUUGGGCGUAAAGAGCGUGUAGGCGGCUAGGUAGGUCCGUUGUGAAAACUCGAGGCUCAACCUCGAGCUGUCGAUGGAAACCAUCUGGCUAGAGUCCGGAAGAGGAGAGUGGAAUUCCUGGUGUAGCGGUGAAAUGCGCAGAUAUCAGGAAGAACACCCGUGGCGAAGGCGGGUCUCUGGGCAGUAACUGACGCUGAGGAGCGAAAGCGUGGGGAGCGAACAGG